This 98-nucleotide small RNA is filed under the name Treponema vincentii F0403. Its description in RNAcentral is "TD-2 RNA". It matches the Rfam family "TD-2 RNA". Rfam says of the family: non coding RNA found in Treponema denticola The record is from Rfam by way of RNAcentral. Lineage: Bacteria; Pseudomonadati; Spirochaetota; Spirochaetia; Treponematales; Treponemataceae.
ACCGCCACGGAUGGCGGUGGUUAUAACAGAAGCGAUAUUUUGGCAUUGCCAAAAUUCGCCAUCAACCGAUGUACACGGAAGUUCAUCGGUUGAUGAGG